GACGAACGCUGGCGGCGUGCUUAACACAUGCAAGUCGAACGCUGAACCCGCUUCGGUGGGGGAUGAGUGGCGAACGGGUGAGUAACACGUGGGCAACCUUCCCCCGGCUCUGAGAUAACUCCAAGAAAUUGGGGCUAAUACCGGAUGUGACCGCUAGACGCAUGGUCUGGUUGUGGAAAUGGUUUCCGGCUGGGGAUGGGCCCGCGGCCUAUCGGCUUGUUCGUGGGGUAGUGGCCUACCAAGGCGACGACGGGGAGCCGGCCUGAGAGGGUGACCGGCCACACUGGGACUGAGACAAGGCAGAGGCUCCUACGCGAGGCAGCAGUGGGAAAUAUUGAGCAAGGGGCGGAAGCUUGACGCAGCGACGCCGCGUGGGGGAUGACGGCCUUCGGAUUGUAGACCUCUUUCAGCAGGGACGAAGCGCAAGUGACGGUACCUGCAGAAGAAGCACCGGCCAACUACGUG
Molecule: ribosomal RNA, 465 nt
Filed under: uncultured bacterium
Lineage: Bacteria
Description: partial 16S ribosomal RNA
Rfam family: Bacterial small subunit ribosomal RNA
Source: RNAcentral